UGGGGAAUCUUGGACAAUGGGCGCAAGCCUGAUCCAGCCAUGCCGCGUGAGCGAUGAAGGCCUUCGGGUUGUAAAGCUCUUUCGUGGGGGAAGAUAAUGACUGUACCCCAAGAAGAAGCCCCGGCUAACUCCGUGCCAGCAGCCGCGGUAAUACGGAGGGGGCUAGCGUUGUUCGGAAUUACUGGGCGUAAAGCGCACGUAGGCGGACCAGAAAGUCAGGGGUGAAAUCCCGGGGCUCAACCCCGGAACUGCCUUUGAAACUUCUGGUCUUGAGGUCGAGAGAGGUGAGUGGAAUUCCGAGUGUAGAGGUGAAAUUCGUAGAUAUUCGGAGGAACACCAGUGGCGAAGGCGGCUCACUGGCUCGAUACUGACGCUGAGGUGCGAAAGCGUGGGGAGCAAA
Molecule: ribosomal RNA, 400 nt
Filed under: uncultured bacterium
Lineage: Bacteria
Description: bacterial SSU rRNA
Rfam family: Bacterial small subunit ribosomal RNA
Source: RNAcentral